RNAcentral lists this ribosomal RNA (494 nucleotides) under uncultured bacterium. Its description in RNAcentral is "partial 16S ribosomal RNA". It matches the Rfam family "Bacterial small subunit ribosomal RNA", at positions 28 to 507 of the family's 1533-position model. The record is from RNAcentral.
GACGAACGCUGGCGGCGUGCUUAACACAUGCAAGUCGAACGGUGAAGCGCCUUCCUUUUUGGUGGGUGUGGAUGAGUGGCGAACGGGUGAGUAACACGUGAGUAACCUGCCCCCUUCUUCUGGAUAACCGCAUGAAAGUGUGGCUAAUACGGGAUAUUCUGGGUCUGUCGCAUGAUGGGUCUGGGAAAGAUAUUGUUUCGGUGGGGGAUGGGCUCGCGGCCUAUCAGCUUGUUGGUGGGGUGAUGGCCUACCAAGGCGGUGACGGGUAGCCGGCCUGAGAGGGUGGACGGUCACACUGGGACUGAGACACGGCCCAGACUCCUACGGGAGGCAGCAGUGGGGAAUAUUGCACAAUGGGCGCAAGCCUGAUGCGGCGACGCCGCGUGAGGGAUGGAGGCCUUCGGGUUGCGAACCUCUUUCGCCAGUGAAGCAGGCCUGCCUCGUUUGUGGGUGGGUUGACGGUAGCUGGAUAAGAAGCGCCGGCUAACUACGUG